UGUAGUCCUAGCCGUAAACUUUGCUCGCUAGGGGUUAUGAUUUAUCAUUAGCCCCGUAAGCUAACGCGUUAAGCGAGCCGCCUGGGGAGUACGGCCGCAAGGCUAAAACUCAAAGGAAUUGACGGGGACCCGCACAACCAGUGGAGCAUGUGGUUUAAUUCGAGACGAAACGAAAGACCUCACCCAGCCUUGACAUGCUACCGUUUUAGGCAUCUGGAAACAGAAGCCGAUCUUUAGAAAUAUUGAUGGUAGCACAGGUGUUGCAUGGCCGUCGUCAGCUCGUGCCGUAGGGUGUUCCCUUCAGUGGGGUAACGAGCGCAACCCUUGCCCUGAGUUGAAUAUUCUCAGGGGACUCCUUGAAUUUAUUUCAGGGGGAAGUGAGGACGACGUCAGGUCAGCAUGGCCCUUAUAGCUGGGGCGACACACAUACUACAAUGGAGCCGACAGAGGGUUGCCAAGCCGCAAGGUGGAGCUAACCCCAA
RNAcentral lists this ribosomal RNA (482 nucleotides) under uncultured Microgenomates group bacterium. RNAcentral describes it as "bacterial SSU rRNA". It matches the Rfam family "Bacterial small subunit ribosomal RNA", at positions 789 to 1277 of the family's 1533-position model. The record is from RNAcentral.